This 391-nucleotide ribosomal RNA is filed under the name Triparma sp. RNAcentral's name for it is "partial small subunit ribosomal RNA". It matches the Rfam family "Eukaryotic small subunit ribosomal RNA", at positions 582 to 975 of the family's 1831-position model. Lineage: Eukaryota; Bolidophyceae; Parmales; Triparmaceae. The record is from RNAcentral.
AUUCCAGCUCCAAUAGCGUAUAUUAAAGUUGUUGCAGUUAAAAAGCUCGUAGUUGGAUUUCUGGUGGGGACGUUUGGCCGGCCGUAACGGUUUGCGCUGAAAUGUUCUUCGCCAUCCUUGACGAAUACUGGUUCGCCAUUAAGUUGUGUGGGCUUGGAGUCGUCAUCGUUUACUGUGAAAAAAUUAGAGUGUUCAAAGCAGGCUUAUGCCGUUGAAUACAUUAGCAUGGAAUAAUAAGAUAGGACCCUGGUACUAUUUUGUUGGUUUGCGUACCUAGGUAAUGAUUAAUAGGGACAGUUGGGGGCAUUCAUAUUCCAUUGUCAGAGGUGAAAUUCUUGGAUUAACGGAAGAUGAACUCCUGCGAAAGCAUCUGCCAAGGAUGUUUUCAUUA